UUNUGAACUGGGUAGCUAGAGUAUNUCAGAGGGGGGUAGAAUUCCACGUGUAGCAGUGAAACGCGUAGAGAUGUGGAGGAAUACCGAUGGCGAAGGCAGCCCCCUGGGAUAAUACUGACGUUCAUGCUCGAAAGCGUGGGUAGCGAACAGGAUUAGAUACCCUGGUAGUCCACGCCCUAAACGAUGUCGAUUAGCUGUUGGGCAACUUGAUUGCUUAGUAGCGUAGCUAACGCGUGAAAUCGACCGCCUGGGGAGUACGGUCGCAAGAUUAAAACUCAAAGGAAUUGACGGGGACCCGCACAAGCGGUGGAUGAUGUGGAUUAAUUCGAUGCAACGCGAAGAACCUUACCUGGUCUUGACAUGUACGGAAGAACUCAGAGACGAGUUUGUGCCUUCGGGAGCCGUAACACAGGUGCUGCAUGGCUGUCGUCAGCUCGUGUCGUGAGAUGUUGGGUUAAGUCCCGCAACGAGCGCAACCCUUGUCAUUAGUUGCCAUCAUUUAGUUGGGCACUCUAAUGAGACUGCCGGUGACAAACCGGAGGAAGGUGGGGAUGACGUCAAGUCCUCAUGGCCCUUAUGACCAGGGCUUCACACGUCAUACAAUGGUCGGUACAGAGGGUAGCCAAGCCGCGAGGUGGAGCCAAUCCCAGAAAACCGAUCGUAGUCCGGAUUGCACUCUGCAACUCGAGUGCAUGAAGUCGGAAUCGCUAGUAAUCGCAGGUCAGCAUACUGCGGUGAAUACGUUCCCGGGUCUUGUACACACCGCC
Molecule: ribosomal RNA, 767 nt
Filed under: uncultured bacterium
Lineage: Bacteria
Description: bacterial SSU rRNA
Rfam family: Bacterial small subunit ribosomal RNA
Source: RNAcentral